RNAcentral lists this small RNA (17 nucleotides) under Arabidopsis thaliana (thale cress). Its description in RNAcentral is "ATSL296400". Lineage: Eukaryota; Viridiplantae; Streptophyta; Magnoliopsida; Brassicales; Brassicaceae. The record is from RNAcentral.
AAGAAUCUACAACAUAC